UGCCAGACUCCUACGGGAGGCAGCAGUGGGGAAUAUUGCACAAUGGGGGAAACCCUGAUGCAGCGACGCCGCGUGAGUGAGGAAGUCUUUCGGUAUGUAAAGCUUUAUCAGCAGGGAAGAAAAUGACGGUACCUGACUAAGAAGCCCCGGCUAACUACGUGCCAGCAGCCGCGGUAAUACGUAGGGGGCAAGCGUUAUCCGGAUUUACUGGGUGUAAAGGGAGCGUAGACGGCGAUGCAAGCCAGAUGUGAAAGCCCGGGGCUCAACCCCGGGACUGCAUUUGGAACUGUGUGGCUGGAGUGGCGGAGAGGCAGGCGGAAUUCCUAGUGGAGCGGUGAAAUGCGUAGAUAUUAGGAGGAACACCAGUGGCGAAGGCGGCCUGCUGGACGAUGACUGACGUUGAGGCUCGAAAGCGUGGGGAGCAAACAGGAUUAGAUACCCUCGUAA
RNAcentral lists this ribosomal RNA (447 nucleotides) under uncultured bacterium. Its description in RNAcentral is "bacterial SSU rRNA". It matches the Rfam family "Bacterial small subunit ribosomal RNA", at positions 329 to 793 of the family's 1533-position model. The record is from RNAcentral.